GACUCUGUAGUGAAGUUCAUGUUGAGUUGCAAGCUCAUNGAUAUGUGCUCGGAGCNCAUCAGAGUCU
RNAcentral lists this transfer RNA (67 nucleotides) under Ara macao cyanopterus. RNAcentral's name for it is "tRNA-Cys". Lineage: Eukaryota; Metazoa; Chordata; Aves; Psittaciformes; Psittacidae. The record is from RNAcentral.